Long non-coding RNA from Cyprinus carpio carpio, 1408 nucleotides. The record is from Ensembl. NCBI's taxonomy places the organism in Eukaryota, Metazoa, Chordata, Actinopteri, Cypriniformes, Cyprinidae.
UUAAAACAGCAGAAGACUUGCCUUGUGGGCAGUUUUUAUUUUCGAGUUAAAAAAGUUAUUCUGAAGCAUUUUGGCUCUUUUAUCAUCAUGAGACCCUGCAAAAAUAAAAUAAAUUUUAUGUAAAUAUAACAUUUCCAUAGUAUUAUAUUAAGAUUUUUUUUUUAUUAUUAUUUAUUUGUUAUAAAUAUUGGGAUAGUUAAUUGGGAUAGUCUAAGAUCCAGUGAAUGUUUCUCAGGGUGGCUUGGUAGCAAAAAGCUAUUGAAAAUUUAACCCACAAAAAAUAAAAAUCCACACACGUUUCGCUUACCAUCACCUUAAAUCAGUUUGAUAAAAGUGUGAGAAAAUAUAUUUUUUAAGUCAUAUAUUGUAAUAUUUAAAAAUAUAGGAGUGAAGAUAUGCAAGUUUAUUUGGAAACAGCUCCGCUCUGUGGUUAUUACAGUAACUGCGGUUCAAGCCACUGUGAAGUCAACAGCAUACUAAAACAAGACUUAUUUACUCAUGCAAAUGCUAAUGUUAGAACACAAACAACUGGAACAAUAAAUAAACAUCAGCAGACUUUUGAUGAUAUCUAUUAACAGAAUUAGCAAACCUUUACAGUUGUGACGUGUCUCUUCAAUUAAACAAAAUGACUAAAAGCCCUAAUUACAAAACUUCAAUAGAGACUCAUUUGCAGGAUUCCUUAAUAAUCUGGUUCUGAUUCUUCACCAGUGUGGAUAACAUUGACAUGAAGUUGGGCUUCUGUACGGCAGGUUUUGUAACACCAGACGCAGACACUUUCUUCUGGUUCCCUCGUUUAAUCUUGGGCUUCACGCUGAACAGAUCUGUGGGUGUCCUGAACCCAUCCAAAUCCUCAGAAAUCUCUUCCUGCUGCUCAUUCUGGAAACCGUUCUGAGCUUGACGAAUCUCUCCACGUUUGUGCUUCUGCCGAGGGCUUUUCCUCUGUUCCGCUGUUUCCACAGCAACAGUUUUAGUGGUGUCAUCAAACUUCAGCACCCGCCGCGUUCCAUCUAUGCCAUCAGACACUUCCUGCUUGUUCGAUUUACCCCGGACAUAAGUCGUCCUCUGUUUGCUAGAGACCUCUGAGUUCUGCUUCAAAUCUGCAUUUAAUCUUGAAAUCUUGUCAUCUACAAGAAGUUUGUCCUUCUGCUUCACACUAAGGUCGAGUGGAUAAAGCUGCUGAGAUAAUGUGCUGUUCAAGGAAGGCUUCCUUUUCACAGAAGACUGCCAGCCAGCGAUGGGCGGCCAGACCACAGAUCGUGACCUCUUACGAUGCCGUGGUUUGGCUUUGUUAAUGGACAGGUUGGUCUGAAUGGAGAGCAGAUCCUUGCAGCGACGCAAAUUUCUAAAUAUAUCUCUGCUGAAACACAUGAGGUCUGGAGCAGUUUGCUUGAGCUGUGUUGAUGACUGA